ACGGGUGAGUAACACGUGAGUAACCUGCCCUUGACUCUGGGAUAAGCCUGGGAAACUGGGUCUAAUACCGGAUAUGACUCCUCAUCGCAUGGUGGGGGAUGGAAAGCUUUUGUGGUUUUGGAUGGACUCGCGGCCUAUCAGCUUGUUGGUGGGGUAAUGGCCUACCAAGGCGACGACGGGUAGCCGGCCUGAGAGGGUGACCGGCCACACUGGGACUGAGACACGGCCCAGACUCCUACGGGAGGCAGCAGUGGGGAAUAUUGCACAAUGGGCGCAAGCCUGAUGCAGCGACGCCGCGUGAGGGAUGACGGCCUUCGGGUUGUAAACCUCUUUCAGUAGGGAGGAAGCGUAAGUGACGGUACCUGCAGAAGAAGCGCCGGCUAACUACGUGCCAGCAGCCGCGGUAAUACGUAGGGCGCAAGCGUUAUCCGGAAUUAUUGGGCGUAAAGAGCUCGUAGGCGGUUUGUCGCGUCUGCUGUGAAAGACCGGGGCUCAACUCCGGUUCUGCAGUGGGUACGGGCAGACUAGAGUGCAGUAGGGGAGACUGGAAUUCCUGGUGUAGCGGUGAAAUGCGCAGA
RNAcentral lists this ribosomal RNA (578 nucleotides) under uncultured bacterium. RNAcentral's name for it is "bacterial SSU rRNA". It matches the Rfam family "Bacterial small subunit ribosomal RNA", at positions 102 to 694 of the family's 1533-position model. The record is from RNAcentral.